AACUACUUUUUCUCAAACUGGGGGUCAUGAUUCCUGGGGUUCCAAGGACAUAGUCUCAGAUCCUCCAUUAGAUAGUUUAAAAGUCGCAUUUAUAUUUCUAAGGUAUCUCAAAAAUUUCAUAUCAGCAUUCAGUUAUGAUCAUCUGAGUGACCAGCUCAUAACUGAGAAGUGCCAAGAAUUUUUAUGCCUCUAUUUGCAUUUGGGUUUUCAAUUCAUUAACAGCAAGUAAGACCACUCUAAUUAUCAUGGACUAACAGGAAGAGAGCACAGAUAUUUUCACACCAAACGAAGGCAAAGUAAUGAACUGGCCCAGCUGUCGCAAGGUUUUCCAGUGGAUUGAAGGGAUAAAUGUUGGGGGAAUUGAGUCAUCAUAAAGCACGCAGUGGCAUAGCAAUGCUGAGCUCCGGGAUGCCCGCAGUAUAGCCAUCAGUACUAUGUUCACGUCGGGAGUCGCAGCUCAGUUCCAGAAAAAUAUCACCUGUCAAGUUAAACUUAGAUGUUCUCAUCAUGAAAACAUUUACCAGUAAAUUUCCUGCAUACAAGUCUUCUCUUAGAGGGUGUUUCCCAGAGAACCACUUCUAUGAGAGUUGGUGCCAGGUGUGGUAUGAGGAAGCCAACCCUACAGUGAGAUUUUGGAGCAGGAUCAUCUCCAGCUGACUGGCAUUGAGGAGAGCAUCACUGGUGGCAAGUGGAACACGGAUCACCCCAGGCUUGAAACUUGCAUUUUUUGGAUUUAUCAUUGGUGAAAUGAAAUUUCAAGUGCCUACUACAUCAUUCUUGAAGGAGAGAAUGCAGGAUUAAAGAAAAAAAAAAUAUCCCAGUCCUCAUGGAGUUUACAUUCUAGUGGAUUAAUGCUGAUUAAUUUGGAGUAUAAACUGCUCAAUAUUGUGAUCACCCGGGCAAGACCAUUAUCUCCAUGUUAGAAGGGGAAAACUGAGGGAAAUGAGGAAACUGAA
Molecule: long non-coding RNA, 956 nt
Organism: Physeter macrocephalus (sperm whale)
Lineage: Eukaryota; Metazoa; Chordata; Mammalia; Artiodactyla; Physeteridae
Exons: 4
Source: RefSeq, a predicted model, not a curated record